RNAcentral lists this long non-coding RNA (213 nucleotides) under Prunus persica (peach). Its description in RNAcentral is "long non-coding RNA (PPER_LNC004257)". Lineage: Eukaryota; Viridiplantae; Streptophyta; Magnoliopsida; Rosales; Rosaceae. The record is from RNAcentral.
CGAAGAAUAAAUGUACCAGACGGGGACAUAGGGCAGUGAGGCCGAUAGAGGUCACGUACUAGGUACAAUUUGUGAAAGAUAUGAAGUAAUGAUGUGAUAUGAUUUGGAUUGUGUAUCUUUUUAUUAUAUUUUUCUAGAGUGUGUAAAAUGACAUUGCUUGACUGUCAUAUUAAAUAAUCUACUCACUGAGCAGUGUUUUGCUCAUCCCUCACC